CGUGACAAUAGAGUUCUGAAUUAAUUGCGUUAAUGUAUUCUGUCGUGCUCAACCGCCGCGCUGAUAGUAAAAAAACACGAUACUAGUUUUGUAACCGUUCCGGUGGAGAUAUUUACAUUUUUAGCAUCCGAAAGCUCUCGUCAUUUAGGAAGAUUAAUAUUUUGUUAUUUCCGUUUUGUUUAUUAAUUCUUAGAAGAUUUUAGUUUUUCGUCGUUAAUGUAAAACAGUAGAUAAGCAGAUCUCUCGCUUGACCCGAGAAUUGCAAUCAACAAUUGGACUAAUUUUGGAAUUUCAACCCGACCAAUUAAGUAAGCAUAAUUAGUCAUUGGAAGUGCGCUAAUUUAUCAAGAUCUUGAAGCCGGUUUCCAGAUUUUUAGGAUGUCAGGGAGAAGUUUUAAUGUUGUGCGUUAUCAUACGGAUUCACCGUGAUUUUUGGAAAGUGCAACGUUUCCCUAUCCGAAUUUGCGGAAUUCUAUAAAAGAUAAGAACGUGAUUAGAAGGGAUCUUCUGUAUUUUCAAUUUUGCUUCCGAAAUUCCGAGACCGUCCCACCGACCUUGGACAGGAGCAAGGAUUGAUAAUCUCCUGGUGGCGCUCGAGAUUUCCGCAGACGUUUCCACCGUCUGUUGUUUUAAAUUAAAUUUGCCAAGGCACCGUUUUGCGUAGAUUGCCGAACGUUUUUCGCAUAAAAUUUGGCGUCCGAGGAGGGGCAAAUGAACCGUUUUAACCCUUAAGCAGGAGUUGAACUUCCACUUGCAAUUACACAUAAUUUGACAGCUCAUACGCCGACCAUUUACCCAUUGGUUACGCUAGAGGGGUGUACGACCGAUCCGAUAAUACUGUAGCUACUCGAGGAUGUACGCAAAAACAGGAGCCCCACAGAGUUCAUUUCGUAGUUCAUUGUUCUGCAACUGUAGGUCACGCACAGUAUCUUUUUGAAUUUAACUAUUAUUCAUCCCCACAUAAGCAAAGCUGUACCUGUGGAAAAGAUUCAUAACUGCGUACGUCGGCGUCGUACGUUAUUACUUUUUAAAUUUCUUUGAAGUUGUUUUGGUGCAAUAUCGUUGACCUACUUCAUUGACGCGUUUGUGGAUAAUAUUUUAUAAGUUUUAAAAGCCGCUAGGAUUUUUCUUUUGGUUUUCUCUUGUCCUCCUCGAUUUCUACAUUGAACGUUUCGAAUAUUACGAUCUACUUCGAUGUCCUUAGUGAAAUAUCUACGUGGAGUUUCGAUACCUACGAUUUUAUGUACGUCAAAUUUUGUCGUUACGAAAAAUUCAUGCCUACUAGCUUAAUUACGUUUCAAAUCCUUUAGUUUUGUUUUACGAAAAUAUUUAAUUAUUUUUAAAUUGUAAAUUAGUUUCUUGAAAUUACGUUACAUUUAUUUUUACCGCUACUGA
Molecule: long non-coding RNA, 1395 nt
Organism: Photinus pyralis (common eastern firefly)
Lineage: Eukaryota; Metazoa; Arthropoda; Insecta; Coleoptera; Lampyridae
Exons: 3
Source: RefSeq, a predicted model, not a curated record